This 468-nucleotide ribosomal RNA is filed under the name uncultured bacterium. Its description in RNAcentral is "partial 16S ribosomal RNA". It matches the Rfam family "Bacterial small subunit ribosomal RNA", at positions 28 to 507 of the family's 1533-position model. The record is from RNAcentral.
GACGAACGCUGGCGGCGUGCUUAACACAUGCAAGUCGAACGGAAAGGCCCUGCUUUUGUGGGGUGCUCGAGUGGCGAACGGGUAAGUAACACGUGAGUAACCUGCCCUUGACUUUGGGAUAACUUCAGGAAACUGGGGCUAAUACCGGAUAGGAGCUCCUGCUGCAUGGUGGGGGUUGGAAAGUUUCGGCGGUUGGGGAUGGACUCGCGGCUUAUCAGCUUGUUGGUGGGGUAGUGGCUUACCAAGGCUUUGACGGGUAGCCGGCUUGAGAGGGUGACCGGCCACAUUGGGACUGAGAUACGGCCCAGACUCCUACGGGAGGCAGCAGUGGGGAAUAUUGCACAAUGGGCGGAAGCCUGAUGCAGCAACGCCGCGUGCGGGAUGACGGCCUUCGGGUUGUAAACCGCUUUCGCCUGUGACGAAGCGUGAGUGACGGUAAUGGGUAAAGAAGCACCGGCUAACUACGUG